AAGUCGUAACAAGGUUUCCGUAGGUGAACCUGCGGAAGGAUCAUUACAGAGAACGUGCCCCACGGGUACAAUCUCCCUCCCUGUGUUUACAGCCCCUGUUGCUUUGGUGGGCCCGUCACUAGACCACCGGCUCCGGCUGGUCAGUGCCCGCCAGAGGACCCCAACCCUUUUUAACGAUGUCUGAGUAUUAUACAAAUAUAUAAAACUUUCAACAACGGAUCUCUUGGUUCUG
This 232-nucleotide unclassified non-coding RNA is filed under the name Helotiales sp. Its description in RNAcentral is "partial contains small subunit ribosomal RNA, internal transcribed spacer 1, and 5.8S ribosomal RNA". The stretch from base 1 to 46 matches the Rfam family "Eukaryotic small subunit ribosomal RNA", at positions 1786 to 1831 of the family's 1831-position model. The record is from RNAcentral. Lineage: Eukaryota; Fungi; Ascomycota; Leotiomycetes; Helotiales.